GAAUAUUGGACAAUGGGCGAAAGCCUGAUCCAGCAAUGCCGCGUGUGUGAAGAAGGCCUGCGGGUUGUAAAGCACUUUAAGUGGGGAAGAACGGGAAUGAGUUAAUACCUCGUUCCUUUGACGUUACCCACAGAAUAAGCACCGGCUAACUCCGUGCCAGCAGCCGCGGUAAUACGGAGGGUGCAAGCGUUAAUCGGAAUUACUGGGCGUAAAGCGCAUGUAGGCGGUUUGAUAAGUCGAAUGUGAAAUCCCUGGGCUUAACCUGGGAAUGGCAUUCGAUACUGUCAGGCUAGAGUAGGAUAGAGGAGGGGGGAAUUCCGCGUGUAGCAGUGAAAUGCGUAGAUAUGCGGAGGAACACCAAUGGCGAAGGCACCUCUCUGGGUCCAUACUGACGCUGAGAUGCGAAAGCGUGGGGAGCAAACAG
Molecule: ribosomal RNA, 424 nt
Filed under: uncultured bacterium
Lineage: Bacteria
Description: bacterial SSU rRNA
Rfam family: Bacterial small subunit ribosomal RNA
Source: RNAcentral